AACGAACGCUGGCGGCAUGCCUAACACAUGCAAGUCGAACUAGACCUUCGGGUCUAGUGGCGCACGGGUGCGUAACGCGUGGGAACCUGCCCUUAGGUUCGGAAUAACUCCCCGAAAGGGGUGCUAAUACCGGAUAAUGUCUUCGGACCAAAGAUUUAUCGCCUUUGGAUGGGCCCGCGUUGGAUUAGCUAGUUGGUAGGGUAAAAGCCUACCAAGGCGACGAUCGAUAGCUGGUCUGAGAGGAUGAUCAGCCACACUGGGACUGAGACACGGCCCAGACUCCUACGGGAGGCAGCAGUGGGGAAUAUUGGACAAUGGGGGAAGGCCUGAUCCAGCAAGGCCGCGUGAGUGAUGAAGGCCUUAGGGUUGUAAAGCUCGUUUACCCGGGAUGAUAAUGACAGUACCGGGAGAAUAAGCUCCGGCUAACUCCGUG
This 433-nucleotide ribosomal RNA is filed under the name uncultured bacterium. RNAcentral's name for it is "partial 16S ribosomal RNA". It matches the Rfam family "Bacterial small subunit ribosomal RNA", at positions 29 to 507 of the family's 1533-position model. The record is from RNAcentral.